Arachis stenosperma is the source of this 2716-nucleotide RNA transcript. It is a transcript of the gene named diacylglycerol kinase 5-like, with no coding region annotated. NCBI's taxonomy places the organism in Eukaryota, Viridiplantae, Streptophyta, Magnoliopsida, Fabales, Fabaceae. The record is from RefSeq and is a predicted model, not a curated record. The transcript is spliced from 15 exons.
AGAUACAAGUCGAGAAUUGAGAAAUAUUCCAAACACAAACACAUGGACCCGCGGCGAAUGUGACUGCAGUUCGCCAUUGGGUCUUUUUGGCCUCCUUUAUCUCUGACUCGUCAAACGCGCCGAGUCAACUCGCUCUUCUUUUUAUUUGACGCUUAUCGUGUUCAGUAGUCACCUUCCUCUCUUGUCUGAAUCUUCUGCAUCCUUUUCACGCUCUCAGAUCUUCACCGUGAUCCGCAUCACCUUUCUCCAGCAAUACUAAGCUCGAGGUAAAGCGCGAUAUUGUGAGUGGAAGCUGACUAUAGCAAUGGCUUCUCGCGACUCCGAAUUCUUGAAGAACUUUUGGAUCCCGAGUUACAUGCUCGUGCCGGAGUCUGCGGCUGAGAGCAGCCAGAUCGCCCGUGGCAAUGGACCUAAGUGCCCGGUGCUUGUUUUUGCGAACUCCAAAAGCGGUGGCCAGCUAGGAGGGGACCUAUUGAAAACGUACCGUGCUCUUCUCAACGAAAAACAGGUUUUUGAUUUAGGGGAAGAAGCUCCCGAGAAGGUACUGAGCAGAGUCUAUGCUAACUUGGAGAGACUCAAGGUUCAAGGUGAUCAACUUGCUACAGGGAUUAUGGAGAGUCUGAGAUUAAUUGUUGCUGGGGGUGAUGGAACAGCGGGAUGGCUACUUGGAGUUGUUUGUGAUCUCAAAUUGUCCCAUCCGCCACCAAUAGCCACGGUUCCUUUGGGCACAGGGAAUAACCUACCUUUUGCUUUUGGCUGGGGAAAGAAGAACCCAGGAACAAACGAGCAUUCAGUGAAGUCAUUUUUAGAUCAAGUAAUGAAGGCUAAAGAAAUGAAAAUAGACAAUUGGCACAUUCUUAUGCGAAUGAGGAUUCCAAAAGAAGGUCCAUGUGAUCCGAUUGCACCUCUUGAGUUACCGCAUUCUUUGCAUGCCUUCCAUCGCGUAUCCGAGACAGAUGAACAAAAUAUUGAAGGUUACCAUACUUUUCGUGGGGGAUUUUGGAAUUACUUCAGCAUGGGAAUGGAUGCUCAAAUAUCUUAUGCUUUUCAUUCUGAACGAAAGUUGCAUCCUGAAAAAUUCAAAAAUCAGUUGGUUAAUCAGACUACAUACGCUAGGCUUGGAUGCACGCAAGGAUGGUUUUUGGCUCCUCUAUUCCAUCCUCCUUCCAGGAAUAUAGCACAUGUUGUAAAAGUACAAAUCAUGAAAAGGAAUGGCCAGUGGGAAGACCUGCAAAUUCCUUCCAGCAUCCGGUCAAUUGUAUGCCUCAAUUUGCCUAGCUUUUCUGGUGGACUGAAUCCUUGGGGUACACCAACUAGGAGGCAACAGCGUCAAAACGACUGGACACGUCCAUAUGUAGAUGAUGGCCUAAUAGAAGUUGUUGGCUUUAGAGAUGCCUGGCAUGGGCUUGCUUUGCUUGGUCCAAACGGACAUGGAACUCGUCUUGCUCAGGCUCGCAGAAUUGGCUUUGUGUUUCACAAAGGUGCAACAGAUCAUACAUACAUGAGGAUUGAUGGGGAACCUUGGAAGCAACCCCUCCCAAUAGACGAUGACACGGUUGUAGUAGAGAUUUCUCACCAUGGCCAGGUUAACAUGCUUGCUACUCAUGAAUGCAAGUCUAAAAGUGUGCAUGAUCCUUCAACACAUUACAAUGAUGAUGCUGAGGAAGAUGAUAGUAGCAAUGGAGACUCUUUAGCAGAUGAAUUUCGAAAGUUUGGUGCAGCUGAUACAUUUAAAAUCCCAGAUGAGUUUGUCAAAUCCAAUAAGAACCCUGAAUAGUAUCGAUCUAAUCACGAGUUUGCCCGUAGCCCCUCAAACAAAGGCACAACAAAAGGGCUAUACAUCAUGAUGAGUUCAAAUGCAAAAUGGAUACAUGAAAUGAAAGUGGCAUAAUAAGUUCGUUCGAAACUUAGAUGCAAUCACUUAUUGCUCUAUAUUGUAGCAUGCAACUCCAUUACAGAUGCAACAUGUACAUUUCUUCUACAAUUUCCAUAUUGUGGCGAAAUUAUAACCACAAUUUAAAACCAUUAAGAAACCAAAGAAGCCCCCACGAACCUGUGGCAGAAGACAUGCAUUGAACAACCAUUUUGGAUGAGGAACAAGAAGCUCGAACACCCCCAUAAUGGUACGAGAAAAUGGUCCUAAAACCGAAGACUUCAGAACUUGAAGAGACAAAGAAACGAUGAGUUGAUGAGGACACAGUUGCUUUUCUCUCACAGCACUGAGUGAAUGAUGAUGAGAAGGACAAAGAAGUGAGAGCUGCCAUAGUUGGAAAGGAAAGAGUGGAAUGCAAAUAAUCAACACACAACACAAAGAGAAGAGGCAAAUUCAGAAGGUGUCCACCAUGGGAGGACAAGUUUCAGUGAUGACCCUCAUUUGGUUUCUAAGGUUUUUGUUGCAGAAAAGGGAAAAAGAAAAGAGAAAAUCUUAUCCACACUGUGAAGUCUCAAACUGAAACUGAAAGCCUUUUGUUUUUGUCAACUUUCCAAGGAGCCACUACUCUCAUGACACGUUGAAAUUUUGACAUCACAACGGUUUUUCUAAGCUAAAUAAAUUGUAUAAUUAGAUUCAUUAUUUUAUAAUCAUAACUAAGAUAAAACAUUCCUCCAAAAUUGUAACUAUUUGUAUUUAGACAACAAGUACAAAAUUUGUUAGAAGACGACACCUUGCAUUCACUCUAUGAUAUUUGAUAUUUGUCUCACCAACUUGUGGCUGAAA